Molecule: unclassified non-coding RNA, 205 nt
Filed under: Hevea brasiliensis (rubber tree)
Lineage: Eukaryota; Viridiplantae; Streptophyta; Magnoliopsida; Malpighiales; Euphorbiaceae
Source: RNAcentral
GCUCGUUCCACCUCUUCUAAAUUGAAAAUGAAGCUCUCAAGAAAUUCCUGAGAGAGCCCAUUUUUGCUCUGGCCUAUGGCCAAGGGAUCCCACCCAUUGGAAUACUCUAGGCUGAUAAGUGGUGAGGCACUCUUCCUAUAAACNUCGGUACUAAGCCGGCUAUCUGAAGUAUCCAAUGCACUUCCAAUUUUCUGUUUCUGGCGAC